This 829-nucleotide ribosomal RNA is filed under the name Latilactobacillus curvatus. Its description in RNAcentral is "bacterial SSU rRNA". It matches the Rfam family "Bacterial small subunit ribosomal RNA", at positions 212 to 1032 of the family's 1533-position model. Lineage: Bacteria; Bacillati; Bacillota; Bacilli; Lactobacillales; Lactobacillaceae. The record is from RNAcentral.
CUAUCACUUUAGGAUGGACCCGCGGUGCAUUAGUUAGUUGGUGAGGUAAAGGCUCACCAAGACCGUGAUGCAUAGCCGACCUGAGAGGGUAAUCGGCCACACUGGGACUGAGACACGGCCCAGACUCCUACGGGAGGCAGCAGUAGGGAAUCUUCCACAAUGGACGAAAGUCUGAUGGAGCAACGCCGCGUGAGUGAAGAAGGUUUUCGGAUCGUAAAACUCUGUUGUUGGAGAAGAACGUAUUUGAUAGUAACUGAUCAGGUAGUGACGGUAUCCAACCAGAAAGCCACGGCUAACUACGUGCCAGCAGCCGCGGUAAUACGUAGGUGGCAAGCGUUGUCCGGAUUUAUUGGGCGUAAAGCGAGCGCAGGCGGUUUCUUAAGUCUGAUGUGAAAGCCUUCGGCUCAACCGAAGAAGUGCAUCGGAAACUGGGAAACUUGAGUGCAGAAGAGGACAGUGGAACUCCAUGUGUAGCGGUGAAAUGCGUAGAUAUAUGGAAGAACACCAGUGGCGAAGGCGGCUGUCUGGUCUGUAACUGACGCUGAGGCUCGAAAGCAUGGGUAGCAAACAGGAUUAGAUACCCUGGUAGUCCAUGCCGUAAACGAUGAGUGCUAGGUGUUGGAGGGUUUCCGCCCUUCAGUGCCGCAGCUAACGCAUUAAGCACUCCGCCUGGAGAGUACGACCGCAAGGUUGAAACUCAAAGGAAUUGACGGGGGCCCGCACAAGCGGUGGAGCAUGUGGUUUAAUUCGAAGCAACGCGAAAAACCUUACCAGGUCUUGACAUCCUUUGACCACUCUAGAGAUAGAGCUUUCCCUUCGGGGACAAAGU